UCAAAAAAAAAAAAAACCCCGCCGCCGCCUGCCGGCCUUCCGCCAUCGCCCUUCCCACAGCGUGUGCCCACGGAUCACAACCGUCGCCGCGCUGCCCUCCUCCCCCCACGCCAUGCUAGUGUCUUCCAGGCAACAGAUGCGCCAGGGAUGGGGCCGUUGAGUGCCAUGCCAGGUGCCGACGUGUGGAUUUCUUGGGGUGACCUCUCCAAUUAUUUGACAGCCACCCAGGCCACCAUCCGAGAAUCUUUGGUCUAGGUGGUUUGCUGCAUAUGCCCUUGGAAGCAAUGACAGUGUUUCUCAUAUCAAUAAUGUUUACUUUGGAAGCAAUAAAGUGACUUCGGCCAACAUUUCUAUUGUUGUUAGUGUGGGAAAUACAAUCUUAUACCUGGAUGCUGUUAUGAUACUUUGCCGGUGUGUGAGACUAGGAAGAGAGAUUCUUGGGUCCUUCACAUACUUUGCCCACACGCAAGUGAUAGCACUGAUCAUUAGAACAAAAUGGGUUGCAAAAAGUAUUGUGUAGAAGGUUUCUUCUGGCAUUGUCUUGGAUAGGGCGAAAAUGACAAAGGCGACAAUUGAAGCCACACUGAGGUAGGUCAGUGUAGAAACUACACUGACACAUCGCCUUCCCUUACCAAAUGUUGCCAAUAGCAGUCCAACGAUCCAAACACUGGCACAUAUGGCGAACAGUGCGACCACAACUUUUUCUUCAAGACUUGGAGAAGGGUUUGUGUUAGUGCCACUAUUGAUCUUCAGCCUUCCGUACAUUUGGGUGCUAUCUGAUAUAUCUAUGCUUUGUACUUUGGUUGGGUAGAAAAUUAGAACUAGUGGCAAAGCGAAGAAGACAAAAUUAUCCAGCAGGCUUUUGAAUUUGCUCAUUUGAAUGUUGCCUCUAUUGUGUGUU
This is a long non-coding RNA of Panicum virgatum (switchgrass), 901 nucleotides long. RefSeq lists it as uncharacterized. The record is from RefSeq and is a predicted model, not a curated record. The transcript has 3 exons. Lineage: Eukaryota; Viridiplantae; Streptophyta; Magnoliopsida; Poales; Poaceae.